AUUGAACGCUGGCGGCAGGCCUAACACAUGCAAGUCGGGCGAGGGGCGGAUGGGUGAGUAAUGUAUGGGGUUCCGCCCGAUGGAGGGGGAUAACUACUGGAAACGGUAGCUAAUACCGCAUCCCAUCAGAUGAACUCAUAUGGGAUUAGCUUGUGGGUGAGGUAACGGCUCACCUAGGUGACGAUCCCUAGCUGGUCUGAGAGGAUGAUCCGCCACACGUGGGAUGAGACGAGGCCCAGACUCGUACGGGAGGCAGCGGUGAAGAAUAUUGCAGAAUGAGCACUAGCCUAAUGCAGCCAAGCCGGGAGUAUGAAGCAGACCAUCGGGGUGUGAAGUACUUUCAGUCGGGAGGCGUUACCGACAGAAUAAGCACCGGCUAACUCCGUGCCAGCAGCCGCGGUAAUUC
This 406-nucleotide ribosomal RNA is filed under the name uncultured bacterium. RNAcentral's name for it is "partial 16S ribosomal RNA". It matches the Rfam family "Bacterial small subunit ribosomal RNA", at positions 30 to 526 of the family's 1533-position model. The record is from RNAcentral.